GUAGUCCCUAUGAAGCAGGUCAGACCUUGCCUCAGCCACAAAGAGCUCAUGGGGAUAUCAGUUCCCCCAAAGUGGGAUCAAGUGCUGGUAGGGGUGGGGACAUGAGACAGAGAAGGGAACAAAGCCUGGGAAGACGCAUCCCAGCACAGUUUUACCGGAGAUGGCCUCAGAGCUACCCCGCCUGCCCAAACAGCCGUGGGCUGCUGUAUCCCCAGCAGGUGUGGCUUGUAAGGAGCCUGGCAGCCAGAGAUGGCCUCAGGGAAAGAAAGGUUCUGGCUCAUAUCACCUCCUUCAGGAAGCCCACCUGGCCUGCUCUGUACCUGAGAGCCUCCCAGGCCUGGCUGGCACCCCAUCAGAAGUCAUCUGUUUGGAUAUGGUCCCUCCAUUGCCUUCCAUGGGCUCCCAUGUGUCCUGGUGAUGACCUCAGGCUGCACAUGGUCCCAUGUCCAGGGCCCUGCCCCUCGGGGCCACACCCUCUGAGCAGCCCAGGCUCCAGCUCCCUCCGCUGAGAUUCCUAGGUCAGUGCCAGCCUCAGACUUAGGAAGGUGGGCAUGCGGGAGGCAGGGAAGGCCAGGGUUGUCAUGGCAAAACCCUGUACCCAUUCUGUCUUCCCACCCCCCUGAGAACCCCUCAGGACAGGCCUGGGCCAUAUCCUCUGGGCCAGACUUAAAGAAAGGCCUGCUCAGCCCCAGCAGGUGAGCUGGAACCCUUCUCCCCAGACAAGCCACACUCCAUGCCCUCCCCCACCUCCAGCAAGGCUGGGGUGCAGCCCAGGAGACCCAGCAGAGGCUGAAGCCCAGCCCUCCAGGCACCUGUAGGCAGGAGCACACCCAGCUCUCGGACCUCAGAAUCAGCCGUGGUGAGUGUGGUCCUGUAUUCACAUGGCCAGCAUGUGUUUUCCACCUUCCUGUGCUCCGGCCAGGUGGCCCCCCGACACCAAUUCUCAAGGCAGGCGCAGGUCAACUUCAGCUCAGCCUGGUGGGCUCCGGCCGAAUGAUGGUCCUGAAUGGCAGCUCAGCUAUCAAUAUCAUUGUGUGACUACAAGAGGAAGAAACAGUUCAUCCUGACAUGCUCAUUCUGCAGACCGCCACUGAGCACCUCCUGGGGACCAAGCCUCAGCUGGCUAGUGGCCUCUAAACCAAGCUGUAUCAGUCAGGGAGACAUCUAAGCUGUUGCAACAAAGCACCCCCAAAUACAGUGGCUAAAACAA
RNAcentral lists this long non-coding RNA (1210 nucleotides) under Homo sapiens (human). RNAcentral describes it as "HSALNT0350583". Lineage: Eukaryota; Metazoa; Chordata; Mammalia; Primates; Hominidae. The record is from RNAcentral.